CAAAAUAGGGGACUCCAUUUAUAUUCGAGCAUCUCAUUACGUCAGUCAGUCUUGUGUGCGGAGGUCAGAAUGCAUUGUCUAUCCUCAAAAGCAAUGCCAUGUGGGUUCUUGUGGAGCGCUGAGCAAUCAUGAACAAACAGAUAUUGAUUCUCUCUGAGUAUGAUUCUCUCUUGGUCAUCUCCAGGAAAUUACUCUUCACCUCCAGAAUUUGAUCACCAUCCGGCAUGGAACUAGGUGCCUGCAAGAAAGAUGCAAUCAAACUGUUGUGAAUGCUCUAUUUGAGAAGCCCGGCUCUCAAAGAUAGUGGAGGACACCGUUCGUAAUUCUACUUGAGCAAUGCUAUACCAUG
RNAcentral lists this small RNA (349 nucleotides) under Histoplasma ohiense. Its description in RNAcentral is "hypothetical lncRNA". Lineage: Eukaryota; Fungi; Ascomycota; Eurotiomycetes; Onygenales; Ajellomycetaceae. The record is from RNAcentral.